Long non-coding RNA from Strigops habroptila (Kakapo), 438 nucleotides. RefSeq lists it as uncharacterized. The transcript has 3 exons. The record is from RefSeq and is a predicted model, not a curated record. Lineage: Eukaryota; Metazoa; Chordata; Aves; Psittaciformes; Psittacidae.
UGAUGCCCCCCUGCAGGAACUUCUCACGGCUCAGCUUUGCCCCUGUAGUAGCAUCUUUUUAUUUAUACUGUACCUGAUUGGCCUUAAAGUGUCAGAGUGUGCUAGUCCUGAUUGAUUAAAGGCAAAACUGCUGAUACCCUGUGGCUUUAUUCUGUCUAGAGCAAAGGCAGUGAAGAUAGUAAAUUCUAUAUUAAUACUCCUCCUCUGCCUUCUCUUCUCACCUUCUGCUCCUCAAAGCCUGGCAGGCUUUUGUGGCAUUUCAGAAGAUUCCCUCUGAUUUGGCUUAGGGUGAAGAAAGCUGUUGAGAUGGUGAAUUUGGAGAGACUGGCAUAAAUGCUCUGGGUGCUCCUGUGCCUUUGCUGGUUCCUUUGUGCAUGGCUACAUCAGUGCUUUCAGAGAAAAGCAGAAUAACAUGAUGAGGGUGGUUUGGGAUGGAAA